AUAAUUCUGUUGCAUAAUUCAAUACAAAUUCUAGUACUGGAUAGUUCAACUACUGAAUAGUUCUACUACUGGAUAGUUCUGCUGAAUAAUUCAAUACAAAUUCUAGUACUGGAUAGUUCAAUACAAAUUCAACCAUUACAUACUUAAAAUUCAUCACAGAUCUCCUUCAACUUCUUCACCUUGUCCUUAUAGCCAUGGUUUUGUUUCA
Molecule: long non-coding RNA, 208 nt
Filed under: Hordeum vulgare
Lineage: Eukaryota; Viridiplantae; Streptophyta; Magnoliopsida; Poales; Poaceae
Description: long non-coding RNA (HVUL_LNC011316)
Source: RNAcentral